RNAcentral lists this non-coding RNA (31 nucleotides) under Rattus norvegicus (Norway rat). Lineage: Eukaryota; Metazoa; Chordata; Mammalia; Rodentia; Muridae. The record is from RNAcentral.
UAGACCCACUCAGGUGGACAUCCUCAAAGCA